Molecule: non-coding RNA, 46 nt
Organism: Schistosoma haematobium
Lineage: Eukaryota; Metazoa; Platyhelminthes; Trematoda; Strigeidida; Schistosomatidae
Source: Rfam
GUACUGCUGAGGAGUCCCAAAAUAGGACGAAACGGCCGUCCAGUGU